Non-coding RNA from Ictidomys tridecemlineatus (thirteen-lined ground squirrel), 2193 nucleotides. Lineage: Eukaryota; Metazoa; Chordata; Mammalia; Rodentia; Sciuridae. The record is from RefSeq and is a predicted model, not a curated record.
AUUAUGAGGUGUCUGUUUGACACCAGAGAGGUGAUGUCAAAUAGGCACCUGUCUAGAAGCCUGGGAGAAGGUCCUGCUUAGAGAUAAAGAUUGAAGGGUCAUCUGUGUGUAGAGGGCUUUUAAAGCCACAGACUAGCUGAGGUCAUUCUGGAUGCAGAAGGUAGGUAGAGAAUGGGUUGCUAAGCCCACCUAGAGCAGGAGGAGCAGUGGUGAACCAUGCAGGUGUGAGAUGGAAGCUGUGAGAAAGGCCUGGCAUUCAGGUCUUAAAAUUUUGGUAGCAGAGAGCAAAUGUGCAGAGAGCAAUGGAAAACAAGUCAGAAGCUGCUGUCUGAUUCCAGAGAUGGUCACAUUUUAUGCAAAAAGAAAAAAGUAAUUUACAUUUGAUCACCUUGAGAUCUUCAAUUUGUCAUUGUGAUAUCUUAAGUAACUAAUGAUUAAGUGAAAUAAAUCUUGGGAAAAUAGAUCACAAAUGGAAUGAGGACUUUGCAUUGUAAGAAACCCACAACUCUUUUCUUUUCACAACAUGACCUUUUAAAAAAGUACCUUAUUGCAGGCUUGUGAAGGUGGCUGGCCUCUGAGCACUGGGCACAUGCCUGAAAGUGAUAGGCCUUUUUUAUUUACCUUGAUCCGCUGGAAUUAAACAGUCAUGCUUAUAUUCAGUUAGUUUGAGGUUUGGUUGGAAUUCAGUUCCAAAUUGGGGAAAGAAAUGAGCAUCCAGCCCCUCUUCCUCAUAUUGUCCAACUUGCCUUAUGAGACUCAUAUGCACAGUAUUCCCUGUUUGAACUGAAGUCACUCACUUGACUCUGUCCCUGCAGUAGUCCUUAAGGAAGGUACACGAACAGAUUAUCUUGAGACUUCCUUCUGCAUCAGUAGUUUUGAUAAUUUCAAGGCCACUGUGGAAUUCACCUGUAGUCUGUUAGGACCUUAUCUUACUUAGGAACAUUAGUCCUUUUAUUCACGCACCCUCCAGUAUCCCUUUGGAAUGCUGUGUUUUGCUAACCCAUGAAACUGGUCUAGAAAGUACAGUAGCAAGUGCUGGGAAUUGAAGUCCACCUUCCUAGUGCUGUGCUUCACAAAUAGUCUCUAGCUGGGGGCCUCUCAGAGCAUGGUGUUCUGUUAUAUCAAUAUGUACUUAGACAUGCUAAUCUGUAUUAGAGAGCCGAUAUACAUAAUGACUCCCCUGGGAUGCUAUAUUAGAAAAAAAAAAAACCAAAAACUGAAGUAGUUUGCUGAAUAUGCAUAGUAAGCUAAAAAAUAAAAUCCUUCUAAAAUGAGCGUUAAUUGAAUCUGGACCUUGAUCAUCUUUGAACCUCUAAUUUUUAAUUUGAUCCUUUAAAAAAGUUAUAGGUUCUUGAAGACAAAAUCUACAAUUCAAUAAAAGUUAUGCUGUAGUGAUUGCCUAAAGACUGAACAAAGCCCAAUUUUGAGGUAUUAUUGCUCCAUGUAUACACAGCAUGUGUGGGGUAGAUGUAUAUACAUGUACAUGUACAUGCAUACACAUACCAACUGUAUGCUUAAUCUAUGCUAUAGUUUGCCUUUAUUUAGAUUUCUCCUCUCUCUGCCUUUAGAAAUGGGGCAAAUUUUCUUCAGUUAAAAACAGAAAUAGAAGCGGCGGCCUUGACCCAUUUUACACCUGUUUAUUUCAGGCUCUCACCACACACUUGUUCAUGGGCACAGCAAGAAAAGGGAUCCACAGAGCGGGAGCUGUGAGGUCUGACACAUUGGGGUGAAGCUGGCAAAAUUCGUAGGGAGAGCUUUACCAUUCUGCCAGCUCCAUAUCUAGCCUCAAGACAGUUCUAUUAGUAAAUUAAUUGUACUCAAAACCUCAAAUUCAUUUGAACCGAAUGUUACUAAAAAUGAAAUAGAUCAAAGUGACCUCCUCUUGCCUCAUCCAGAGUGAUCGUGAAGGAGCCCGUGGCCUCAUUUAUCUCUGGAGAGCAGGUCUCCACCUGUGUGCCUCCUGGUCCUGGGGGUUCUUCGUGCCUGUCCCUGAUGCUGUUCUGCCCGAAGUCCCUCAGCAGGCUUCCAUUUCUUACUGGCACUUCCCUCCCCUGUAAUCUCUUUAUGUUGAUUACUGUUUGUCUCCCACAAGAAUGGAAGCUCCAUGAGAGCAGGGUCUCCGUCUUGUUCCAUGUCCCAGUGCAUAGGACAGUGCCUGGCACAGUGGAGUUUCAAUAAACGUUAUUGAAUGAA